RNAcentral lists this ribosomal RNA (253 nucleotides) under uncultured bacterium. RNAcentral describes it as "partial 16S ribosomal RNA". It matches the Rfam family "Bacterial small subunit ribosomal RNA", at positions 524 to 776 of the family's 1533-position model. The record is from RNAcentral.
UACAGAGGGGGCAAGCGUUAUUCGGAAUUAUUGGGCGUAAAGGGCGCGUAGGCGGCCAUGCGUGUCUUCCGUGAAAUCCCUCGGCUCAACCGAGGACGUGCGGAAGAAACUGCAAGGCUCGAGUCCGGAAGAGGGGGGCGGAAUUCCCAGUGUAGCGGUGAAAUGCGUAGAUAUUGGGAGGAACACCAGUGGCGAAGGCGGUCCCCUGGGCCGGAACUGACGCUGAGGCGCGAAAGCGUGGGUAGCAAACGGG